Molecule: ribosomal RNA, 283 nt
Filed under: uncultured bacterium
Lineage: Bacteria
Description: partial 16S ribosomal RNA
Rfam family: Bacterial small subunit ribosomal RNA
Source: RNAcentral
CAAGUCGAACGGUAGCACAGGUAGCAAUACUGGGUGGCGAGUGGCGCACGGGUGCGUAACACGUAUGUAACUUGCCCCUGACUGGGGAAUAGCCCGGAGAAAUUCGGAUUAAUGUUCCAUAAUAUAACGAAGUGGCAUCACUUUGUUAUUAAAGUAUUACGGUCAGGGAUAGACAUGCGUUCGAUUAGCUAGUUGGCGGGGUAACGGCCCACCAAGGCUACGAUCGAUAGGGGACCUGAGAGGGGUAUCCCCCACACUGGUACUGAGACACGGACCAGACUCC